AGGGUGCUACAAUAUCAGAACGGAUAAAAUCCCGUUCAGAUCUGGCCGAGUUAUCGUUUCCAAAGUUUUUCUGGGCCACAGCGUUCCAAUCAAAGAGGGAGAACUGGUCAACAGAAGGGUCUAUCCCCGCGCUGCUUCUGUAUAUCGCAGUGUGCACACCAAGCAUCGAGAUGGACUACACACGACCAUUCCUAAAGGAAGAAAGUGGUUUGUCUUUGACAAUGAACUCGUCUUGCCCGAGUACAUGAUUUGUUUUGAAUACCUCACUGGAGUAAGUGGCAGUAUCAGCAUUGGUUCUGUGUUUC
Molecule: long non-coding RNA, 305 nt
Organism: Hippocampus comes (tiger tail seahorse)
Lineage: Eukaryota; Metazoa; Chordata; Actinopteri; Syngnathiformes; Syngnathidae
Exons: 3
Source: RefSeq, a predicted model, not a curated record